GCUGCUAUAUAAGUGGCUGCGCGCAAUUGGAUCUUCCUUUUGGCGCCGGGAUUGAGCGAGGCUUUUUGAAUGGAUGCCGAAUCUAGUGUUCCUGUGCCAAAUCCUGGGAUGCAAGAUGUUUCAGGCCAUAUGUUGCGAUAAACAUUUGUAUCCAGUGUGACAAUGCUGACUUCUUGGGUCAGAUGGGUUGGCUUAGGCCAGAUGUUGCCAUAGACAUUUGUAUCCAGUGUGACAAUGCUGACAUCUUGGGUCAGAUGGGUCGGUUGAAGCAAUUUCAGAAUCUUGAAGAUGGAGGUCCAGGAGCCACAAUGAUUUGCAAAUCUAACUGAAGAUGCUGCAAGUGCCAUGAGUCAGGCGUUACCCAGGUUCAGAAUGCGCUUAUGGCUUGAAAUAGUGGUGAUGGGACGUGAGGUUGCAAUUAAGGAUUUGGUAUUUUUCCACCUGCAGGAUUUGAAGAACUGAGGUUUAUCAAUGAAGAUACUCCCACAUCCAUGACAAAGAGUUUGUGGAAAAAGUUGCUUUUUGAUGCUGUAAAGUGUACUUUUUUAAUAAAUUUUUUACAUAAGUGA
This is a long non-coding RNA of Carcharodon carcharias (great white shark), 569 nucleotides long. RefSeq lists it as uncharacterized. The record is from RefSeq and is a predicted model, not a curated record. The transcript has 8 exons. Lineage: Eukaryota; Metazoa; Chordata; Chondrichthyes; Lamniformes; Lamnidae.